AUGCCGCCGGAACGGCCCGCCGUCGCAGCCCGCGCCUCCAUCCCCAGAUUCAGGCGAGCGAGGAGGGAGCCGGACUGGAUCUCCGGCGCAGCGCGCGCCUCCGUCCCCAGGUCCACGCGAGUGACGAGGGCGACGGAGCGGCCCGCCGCCGCAGCCCGCGCCUACAUCCCCAGGUUCAGGCGCCGCUUCGACCUGCGACUCCACGGCAUUGACAGUGGUCGUGGCACGGGGGUCGAGCUGCUAGGGUGCCGCCACGGUCGCCUCCUCAUCAUGCAUUGGCAACGGGCAGAGCUUAUUGUAAUUGCUCCCUUCACCGGCAAGAAGCUCUGCCUGACCGUUCCGUCCAAGUUCAAGGGGGGCUGCUACCUUGAUGGGGCGGUGCUCUGCGGCGCUGCUGACCAUGGCCACGUGCAUGGAAGCUGCCACUCAAGCCCAUUCAAGGUGGUCUUGCUGUCGACGAGCACCUACGAUAAUGGUCCACAGCCCGCCUUUGCAUGUGUUUUCUCCUCAGAGACUGGCAUAUGGAGCGAUCACAUCUCGACGCCGACUCCAUAUCAGCUUCAUGGCACUGAUAGUCACGGGUCACUUAUUAGUAACUCACUUUACUGGAUGUGCGGCGAUUACAUUUUUCAGUUUGAUUUGGAUGGUCAAAGCCUAGCUUUGAUCAGAGCGCCUCCCGGAAUAAAUGAUGUCCACCACAGGUAUGACGAACGUGAGAUCAUCCAGGUGGUGCAUGGCAUUGUUGGUGUCGCCAUACUGUCUCACUAUUACCAUAACAUUCAAAUAUGGCAAAGGGAGGUCAAUUGCCAGGGUGUUACCAAAUGGGUGCUAUGGAAGACCAUUGAUAUGCAUGACACUCAUGGGAUCCCUCAUGGGAAUGAAGGAGAGAGGCCAAAGUUGAUAUUCAGACUGAGAUAUGCUGAGGAUACCGAUGAUAUAUUUAUAUAUGUCGGCAGGAGUAUCUAUAUGGUUCAACUUAAGUCGAUGCAAUCUAUGAAAUUUUGUGAAACCGGUUAUAUUAUGUGCCAACAUUCUUUAAAGAGUUUCUAUAUGCCAGGUGAUUGUUCUUCAUUAGUACUAAUAUCGUAG
Molecule: ribosomal RNA, 1089 nt
Filed under: Triticum aestivum (bread wheat)
Lineage: Eukaryota; Viridiplantae; Streptophyta; Magnoliopsida; Poales; Poaceae
Description: partial small subunit ribosomal RNA
Source: RNAcentral